Molecule: ribosomal RNA, 539 nt
Filed under: uncultured bacterium
Lineage: Bacteria
Description: bacterial SSU rRNA
Rfam family: Bacterial small subunit ribosomal RNA
Source: RNAcentral
GAGGAAUAUUGGUCAAUGGGCGAGAGCCUGAACCAGCCAAGUAGCGUGCAGGAUGACGGCCCUAUGGGUUGUAAACUGCUUUUGUAUGGGGAUAAAGUCAGUCACGUGUGAUUGUUUGCAGGUACCAUACGAAUAAGGACCGGCUAGUUCCGUGCCAGCAGCCGCGGUAAUGCGGAAGGUCCGGGCGUUAUCCGGAUUUAUUGGGUUUAAAGGGAGCGUAGGCUGGAGAUUAAGUGUGUUGUGAAAUGUAGACGCUCAACGUCUGACUUGCAGCGCAUACUGGUUUCCUUGAGUACGCACAACGUUGGCGGAAUUCGUCGUGUAGCGGUGAAAUGCUUAGAUAUGACGAAGAACUCCGAUUGCGAAGGCAGCUGACGGGAGCGCAACUGACGCUGAAGCUCGAAGGUGCGGGUAUCGAACAGGAUUAGAUACCCUGGUAGUCCGCACAGUAAACGAUGGAUGCCCGCUGUUGGUACCUGGUAUCAGCGGCUAAGCGAAAGCAUUAAGCAUCCCACCUGGGGAGUACGCCGGCAACGGUG